This 66-nucleotide transfer RNA is filed under the name Ovis aries (sheep). It matches the Rfam family "tRNA". Rfam says of the family: Transfer RNA (tRNA) molecules are approximately 80 nucleotides in length. Their secondary structure includes four short double-helical elements and three loops (D, anti-codon, and T loops). The record is from Rfam by way of RNAcentral. Lineage: Eukaryota; Metazoa; Chordata; Mammalia; Artiodactyla; Bovidae.
CCUGAUAGCUCAGUUGUAAAGAAUCUGCCUGCAGUGCAGGAGAUCCAGGUUCAAUUCCUGGUCGGG